UACAGCUGGAUCAACUGAAACUGAAUGGAAGAUUAGCAGCCAACUGGCCAUUUUCUUAUGCUCUGCUUGAGCGUUAACGAUAGUAGGAGAAAGCAGACGAGCAGAGAAAGCACUUAACAUUGACCUUAGGAUGGUUAGACCUAAGGUUCAACUUUAUAUGCAAAUGGAAAAGCUUACAAUCUAUUACACAUAUUGCAUUGUUUAUAGCUCCCAAUGGUAUAAUAGAUAAGCUAAUGUUUAAGUAAAGCCGACUUAUGAUUAUAUUGUAUCGCAAGAGCGAAAUAUGA
Drosophila yakuba is the source of this 287-nucleotide long non-coding RNA. RefSeq lists it as uncharacterized. The transcript is spliced from 2 exons. Lineage: Eukaryota; Metazoa; Arthropoda; Insecta; Diptera; Drosophilidae. The record is from RefSeq and is a predicted model, not a curated record.